RNAcentral lists this long non-coding RNA (1213 nucleotides) under Micromonas commoda. Its description in RNAcentral is "long non-coding RNA (MCOM_LNC000142)". Lineage: Eukaryota; Viridiplantae; Chlorophyta; Mamiellophyceae; Mamiellales; Mamiellaceae. The record is from RNAcentral.
UGUGCUUGGUCUCCUUCUUGCCGACGGAGGCAGCCGCGGAGGCGCCGCCGUAGCAGAGAGCCUGGAACUCGUUGAUGAUGAUGUCCUUGAGCUUGUUGUCCUCGUUGGGGAGGGCGAUGUUGAGCAUGUCGAAGCACUGGUUAACCUGGCAGACGGCGUCCUCGGGACCGCCGAGCUCGGCGUUGGGGUUGGACGAGUACUCGCGGGACUUGACGCACACGGUCUCGAAGGAUUCGCCAAAGAUGUUGUCGAUGUCCUCCUCGUCGCCGCGGAGCAUGGUGAGGCACGCGUCGAUGGUGCAGGCGUCGCCCUUGCCGAGGGUGGCAGUGGAGGAGGCGCCGCCGUAGCAGAGAGCCUGGAACUCGUUGAUGAUGAUGUCCUUGAGCUUGUUGUCCUCGUUGGGGAGGGCGAUGUUGAGCAUGUCGAAGCACUCCGCAACGUCGCAGAUGGCAUCCUCGGGACCGCCGAGCUCGGCGUUGGGGUUGGACGAGUACUCGCGGGACUUGACGCACACGGUCUCGAAGGAUUCACCGAAGAUGUUGUCAAUCUGCUCAUCGUCGGCGCGGAGAAGGACGAGGCACGCGUCGACGUUGCACUGGGAUCCGAGCCUGGAGCGCUUGGUGGAAGUCUUGGGCGCGACGGCGUGCGCGUUGUGGCCGACCUUGGCGACCUUGGUGUGCUGCUUGUUCUUGCCCAUCGCGGCGGUGGAGGUGGGGAAGCAGACGUCGUAGAAUUGGGUGAUGACAACGUUCUUCAUGGACUGCUGCUUGGUUUCAUCCUUGGAGACCUUUCCGAGCUCCGCGUUGAGGAUAUCGAAGCACUUAGGGACGGUGCACAGCGCCUUGGGGUUCUCCUUCAAACCGUGCGUCGAGCCCUGCUCGACCACCUGGUUCGCCUGGGUGCACACGGUGUCGAAGGACUCCUGGAAGAUCGAGUCGAGCUGGUCGCUGGGCCCCUGGAGGAGGGUGAGGCAGUGAUCCAUGCCGCACGUCUCAGACGCGCCGAGGCGCAUGAGGGACGAAACGCCGUAUCCGUUGGAACCGGAGAGGGCGUACGCGCCCACGAGCGCGCCGGAGACGGCGCAGAGCGCGCCGACCGCGACGAGAAUUCGCGAAUUCGACCCCGAUUUCGCCUUGUUGGUGAGGAGGGUGUCAUUUUCACCGCCCUUCUGCGCGUCCGGGUGGAACGCGCCGUACAUGCGAGCGCCCGACAU